GUCUCCAGCCAUGCCACUCUGAACGUGCCCAAUCUCGUCUGAUUUCAGAAGCUAAGCAGGGUCGGGCCUGGUUAGUACUUGGAUGGGAGAACACCUAGGAAGACAAGGUGCUGUAGGUG
This is a non-coding RNA of Pteropus alecto (black flying fox), 119 nucleotides long. NCBI's taxonomy places the organism in Eukaryota, Metazoa, Chordata, Mammalia, Chiroptera, Pteropodidae. The record is from Rfam.